GGAAUAUUGGUCAAUGGGCGCAAGCCUGAACCAGCCAUCCCGCGUGCAGGAAGACGGCCCUAUGGGUUGUAAACUGCUUUUCCAGGGGACGAAUAGUUUCUACGAGUAGAGACCUGACGGUACCUUGGGAAUAAGCAUCGGCUAACUCCGUGCCAGCAGCCGCGGUAAUACGGAGGAUGCAAGCGUUAUCCGGAUUCAUUGGGUUUAAAGGGUGCGUAGGCGGAUUAAUAAGUCAGCGGUGAAAUCCUACAGCUUAACUGUAGAACUGCCAUUGAUACUGUUAGUCUUGAGUUUGGUUAAGGUAGGCGGAAUGUGUAAUGUAGCGGUGAAAUGCUUAGAUAUUACACAGAACACCAAUUGCGAAGGCAGCUUACUGGACCGACACUGACGCUGAGGCACGAAAGCGUGGGGAUCGAACAGGAUUAGAUACCCUGGUAGUCCACGCCGUAAACGAUGAUUACUCGCUGUUGGCGAUACACAGUCAGCGGCUAAGCAAAAGCAAUAAGUAAUCCACCUGGGGAGUACGGCCGCAAGGCUGAAACUCAAAGGAAUUGACGGGGGCCCGCACAAGCGGUGGAGCAUGUGGUUUAAUUCGAUGCAACGCGAAGAACCUUACCUGGGCUUGACAUCCACGGAAUCUCCUGGAAACAGGGGAGUGCCUUCGGGAGCUUAAAAAGGGCGAAUUCACCCCUUGG
Molecule: ribosomal RNA, 695 nt
Filed under: uncultured bacterium
Lineage: Bacteria
Description: bacterial SSU rRNA
Rfam family: Bacterial small subunit ribosomal RNA
Source: RNAcentral